Molecule: unclassified non-coding RNA, 514 nt
Filed under: Homo sapiens (human)
Lineage: Eukaryota; Metazoa; Chordata; Mammalia; Primates; Hominidae
Description: arachidonate 5-lipoxygenase (ENSG00000275565.4)
Source: RNAcentral
UGGGGGAGGAGCCGGGACCCCUGCCUGACUACCUGGGGCGGGCCUGGCCCCUCCACCGCUAGCGCUGAAUGGGGACGGGGUGGGGGAGUCCCAGCGUCCGUGAGGGGGUUGCCGCCGGGCACCGCUCCGCAGACCUGGCUGGGUCGCCCACCCCGGCUGCGCCCCCUGAGCCAGGUUCACGGCCGAGGUGGUAGACAUCUACUACGAGGGCGACCAGGUGGUGGAGGAGGACCCGGAGCUGCAGGACUUCGUGAACGAUGUCUACGUGUACGGCAUGCGGGGCCGCAAGUCCUCAGGCUUCCCCAAGUCGGUCAAGAGCCGGGAGCAGCUGUCGGAGUACCUGACCGUGGUGAUCUUCACCGCCUCCGCCCAGCACGCCGCGGUCAACUUCGGCCAGUACGACUGGUGCUCCUGGAUCCCCAAUGCGCCCCCAACCAUGCGAGCCCCGCCACCGACUGCCAAGGGCGUGGUGACCAUUGAGCAGAUCGUGGACACGCUGCCCGACCGCGGCCGC